Molecule: ribosomal RNA, 888 nt
Filed under: uncultured Lysobacterales bacterium
Lineage: Bacteria; Pseudomonadati; Pseudomonadota; Gammaproteobacteria; Lysobacterales
Description: bacterial SSU rRNA
Rfam family: Bacterial small subunit ribosomal RNA
Source: RNAcentral
GAGUUUGAUCGUGGCUCAGAGUGAACGCUGGCGGUAGGCCUAACACAUGCAAGUCGAACGGUAACAGGUCUUUCGGGAUGCUGACGAGUGGCGGACGGGUGAGGAAUACAUCGGAAUCUGCUCAGUCGUGGGGGAUAACGCAUGGAAACGUGCGCUAAUACCGCAUACGACCUUCGGGUGAAAGCAGGGGAAUCUUUAGGGAUCCUUGCGCGAUUGAAUGAGCCGAUGUCGGAUUAGCUAGUUGGUAGGGUAAAAGCCUACCAAGGCGACGAUCCGUAGCUGGUCUGAGAGGAUGAUCAGCCACACUGGGACUGAGACACGGCCCAGACUCCUGCGGGAGGCAGCAGUGGGGAAUAUUGGACAAUGGGGGCAACCCUGAUCCAGCCAUACCGCGUGGGUGAAGAAGGCCUUCUGGGUUGUAAAGCCCUUUUGUUGGGGAAGAAAAACAACGGGUUAAUACCCCGUUGGUAUGACGGUACCCAAAGAAUAAGCACCGGCUAACUUCGUGCCAGCAGCCGCGGUAAUACGAAGGGUGCAAGCGUUACUCGGAAUUACUGGGCGUAAAGGGUGCGUAGGUGGUUGCGCCAGUCUGUCGUGAAAGCCCUGGGCUUAACCUGGGAAUGGCGAUGGAAACUGUGCAACUAGAGUGUGACAGAGGGUGGUGGAAUUCCUGGUGUAGCAGUGAAAUGCGUAGAGAUCAGGAGGAACAUUCGUGGCGAAGGCGGCCACCUGGGUCAACACUGACACUGAGGCACGAAAGCGUGGGGAGCAAACAGGAUUAGAUACCCUGGUAGUCCACGCCCUAAACGAUGCGAACUGGAUGUUGGGUCCAACUUGGGAUUCAGUAUCGAAGCUAACGCGUUAAGUUCGCCGCCUGGGGAGUACGGU